This is a long non-coding RNA of Oncorhynchus tshawytscha (Chinook salmon), 413 nucleotides long. The record is from Ensembl. Lineage: Eukaryota; Metazoa; Chordata; Actinopteri; Salmoniformes; Salmonidae.
GGGGAGCUGGACUGGCUAGGCUAGGGGAGCAGCAGGGGAGAUGGACUGGCUAGGCUGGAGAGGUGAACUGGCUAAGUUGGGGAGCAGCAGGGGGAGCUGGACUGGCUAGGCUAGGGGAGCAGCAGGGGAGAUGGACUGGCUAGGCUGGAGAGGUGAACUGGCUAAGUUGGGGGAGCACCAGGGGGAGGUGGACUGGCUAGGCUGGAGAGGUGAACUGGCUAAGUUGGGGAGCAGCAGGGGAGGUGGACUGGCUAGGUUGGGGGAGCAGCAGUGGGAGAAGGACUGGCUAGACUGGGGGAGCAGCAGGGGGGGGUGUACUGGCUAGGCUGGGGGAGCAGCAGGGGGGGGGUGGACUGGCUAGGCUGGGGGAGCAGCAGGGGGAGGUGGACCAGGCUGGGUAGAUGGACCUGGCU